CCUACGGGAGGCAGCAGUGAGGAAUAUUGGUCAAUGGGCGCGAGCCUGAACCAGCCAAGUAGCGUGAAGGAUGACUGCCCUACGGGUUGUAAACUUCUUUUAUAAAGGAAUAAAGUGAGGCACGUGUGCCUAUUUGUAUGUACUUUAUGAAUAAGGAUCGCCUAACUACGUGCAAGGAGCCGCGGUAAUACGGAGGAUCCGAGCGUUAUCCGGAUUUAUUGGGGUUAAAGGGUGCUGAGGCGGAUUUUUAAGUCAGCGGUAAAAUGUUGGGGCUCAACCCGGGCCGGCGGUUGAAACUGGGGAUCUUGAGUGCGCGAGAAGUAUGCGGAAUGCGUGGUGUAGCGGUGAAAUGCAUAGAUAUCACGAAGAACUCCGGUUGCGAAGGCAGCAUACCGGCGCCCGACUGACGCUGAGGCACGAAAGCGUGGGGAUCGAACAGGAUUAGAUACCCCAGUAGUC
This 459-nucleotide ribosomal RNA is filed under the name uncultured bacterium. Its description in RNAcentral is "partial 16S ribosomal RNA". It matches the Rfam family "Bacterial small subunit ribosomal RNA", at positions 338 to 795 of the family's 1533-position model. The record is from RNAcentral.